AGAAAAAAAACCUCACCGCAAAUGCAGUGAGGCAGCAGUCCAUCUCUCCCUGUUCGGGAGCGGUGGCACGGAAUGCUCCUAUCAGACACGCCGUGCGCGAGUAGGAACUGCUUUUCAAUUAUGGGAGAGGAGAAACCGGAGGAAGAGCUUAUGGGGAAACGUAAGUCUUCUCCGCGG
Brevibacillus borstelensis AK1 is the source of this 177-nucleotide regulatory RNA element. It matches the Rfam family "ylbH leader". Rfam says of the family: This family is a putative regulatory RNA structure that is found upstream of the ylbH gene in B. subtilis and related low GC Gram-positive bacteria. The record is from Rfam. Lineage: Bacteria; Bacillati; Bacillota; Bacilli; Caryophanales; Paenibacillaceae.